This 291-nucleotide ribosomal RNA is filed under the name uncultured Enterobacteriaceae bacterium. RNAcentral's name for it is "partial 16S ribosomal RNA". It matches the Rfam family "Bacterial small subunit ribosomal RNA", at positions 355 to 638 of the family's 1533-position model. Lineage: Bacteria; Pseudomonadati; Pseudomonadota; Gammaproteobacteria; Enterobacterales; Enterobacteriaceae. The record is from RNAcentral.
GGGGCAAUAUUGCACAAUGGGCGCAAGCCUGAUGCAGCCAUGCCGCGUGUAUGAAGAGGCCUUCUGGGUUGUAAAGUACUUUCAGCGCAGGAGGAAGGCGUUGUGGUUAAUAACCGCAGCGAUUGACGUUACUCGCAGAAGAAGCACCGGCUAACUCCGUGCCAGCAGCCGCGGUAAUACGGAGGGUGCAAGCGUUAAUCGGAAUUACUGGGCGUAAAGCGCACGCAGGCGGUCUGUCAAGUCGGAUGUGAAAUCCCGGGCUCAACCUGGGAACUGCAUCCGAAACUGGCA